Molecule: ribosomal RNA, 459 nt
Filed under: uncultured bacterium
Lineage: Bacteria
Description: partial 16S ribosomal RNA
Rfam family: Bacterial small subunit ribosomal RNA
Source: RNAcentral
CCUACGGGUGGCAGCAGUGAGGAAUAUUGGUCAAUGGGCGGGAGCCUGAACCAGCCAAGCCGCGUGAAGGAAGAAGGCGCCAAGCGUCGUAAACUUCUUUUGUCGGGGAACAAAGGGCGCCACGUGUGGCGUUGUGGGUGUACCCGAAGAAAAAGCAUCGGCCAACUCCGUGCCAGCAGCCGCGGUAAUACGGAGGAUGCGAGCGUUAUCCGGAUUUAUUGGGUUUAGAGGGUGCGUAGGCGGUCCGGAAAGUCAGCGGUAAAAGCCCGGGGCUCAACCCCGGCGAGCCGUUGAAACUGGCAGUCUUGAGUGGGCGAGAAGUAUGCGGAAUGCGUGGUGUAGCGGUGAAAUGCAUAGAUAUCACGCAGAACUCCGAUUGCGAAGGCAGCAUACCGGCGCCCUACUGACGCUGAGGCACGAAAGCGUGGGUAUCGAACAGGAUUAGAUACCCCAGUAGUC